Molecule: long non-coding RNA, 937 nt
Filed under: Capra hircus (goat)
Lineage: Eukaryota; Metazoa; Chordata; Mammalia; Artiodactyla; Bovidae
Description: lncRNA (ENSCHIG00000001087.1)
Source: RNAcentral
AUGGGAUCAACACUUACUCCCUACGUACGAAGUUACUCCUUGGCUGUGCCCCACACAGAGGAACCUGGAAGAAGACUCUGGCUGACAAAUCAGGACUUUCUCCAGACUCCUCGGGGUGAAGACCUCUUGGCUGGCACACACCUUUGGCCAAAUAAUGAAGGUAGUCAGGCUGCAUAUCGGAGCCCAGCCUCUCUGUCUGGGUCUUCCUUUGCGGGCACAUCUCCUACCCUGUCUCCCUGUAGCCCCUUCCCUUGAAUGAUUGUGGCUGUAGUUCAUCUUGGUGAGGACUAAGUUCUCUCUAGAGGGGCUUCCUCUCCCCUGGAGCCUUUUUGCCCAGGUACUUCAUCCUGGGCUUUCUUGCUCAGGGUGAAAGGCUCUGUGUCUUGAGAAGGGAAUGCUCAGCGGUAGCUGCUGAUGCUGGUGAUCCGGUGACAGCAGACUCUCCUUAGAGAGGACCUGUGAGUCCCUUGGGGACAACCAGGCUGGCUUUGGAGACAAGAUGUAGGAUCCAUCAUGGAUAAUUUUGUUUGUUUGAAGUGUAGUUGGUUUACAGUAUCAUGUUAGUUUCAGGUGUACAGCAUAGAGAUUCAGUAUUUUUGCAGGUUAUAUUCCAUUAUAUUGAUAGGUUAUUACAAGAGAAUGGGAAUAAUUCCCUGUGCUAUGCAAUAAUCCUUGUUGCUUAGCUCUUUCAUAGACAGUAGUUUAUUUCUGUCUAUGAAACCCCAUACCCCAAAUUGAUCCCUCCCUUCCCUCUCCCCUGUGGUGACCGUAAGUUUGUUUCCUAUGUCUGUGAGUCUGUUUCUGUUUUGAAUACAGAUUCAUUUGUGUUAUUUAUUAGAUUCCACAUAUGAGUGAUGUCAGAGAGUUUAUUUGUCUUUCUCUGCCUGACUUUGCUAAGCACAAUAUUCUCUAGGGUCCAUCGUUGCAGAUAGCUGGG